This 492-nucleotide ribosomal RNA is filed under the name uncultured bacterium. RNAcentral's name for it is "partial 16S ribosomal RNA". It matches the Rfam family "Bacterial small subunit ribosomal RNA", at positions 28 to 507 of the family's 1533-position model. The record is from RNAcentral.
GGUGAACGCUGGCGGUGGGCCUAACACAUGCAAGUCGAACGGCAGCACAGUAAGAGCGUGCGCUUCCGGAGGGCGAGUGGCGGACGGGUGAGGAGUAUAUCGGACUCUACUUUUUCGGGGGGGUUAACGUAGGGGAACUUACGCUAAUACCGCAUCCGACCUACGGGUGAAAGGAGGGGAUCUUCGGACCUUGCGCGGUUGAAUGAGCCGAUGUCGGAGUAGCUAGUGGGCGGGGUAAAGGCCAACCAAGGCGAGGAUACGUAGCUGGUCGGAGAGGAUGGUCAGCCACACUGGAAGUUAGACACGGACCAGACUCCUAAGGGAGGCAGCAGUGGGGAAUAGUGGACAAUAGGCGCAAGCCUGAUCCAGCCAUACCGCGUGGGUGAAGAAGGCCUUCGGGUUGUAAAGCCGUUUUGUUGGGAAAGAAAAGCAGCAGGUUAAUACCCCGCUGUUCUGACGGUACCCAAAGAAUAAGCACCGGCUAACUUCGUG